RNAcentral lists this unclassified non-coding RNA (332 nucleotides) under Hevea brasiliensis (rubber tree). The record is from RNAcentral. Lineage: Eukaryota; Viridiplantae; Streptophyta; Magnoliopsida; Malpighiales; Euphorbiaceae.
GGUGAUUCCAAACUUUUACAAAUUUGGAUCUUUUCGUUUGGUAUCUAUGUAUUUGAUAUGAAAGAAUUCUUCAUUAACAAUGAGAGAAGUGAUAAGAGCAUGGUUUCAAAUAGCGGUUAUUAUGUAACGUAACGGUCGUUAUUUACAGGUUUUUGAAAGCUCCGUUACGCAUUACCCGUUAUUUGUAGGAAAAUCUUGAAUUGUAUAUGUAAUGGCCGUUAUCACUGUUACAUAAUGGUAACAACCGUUAUUAACUGUUAAGUAAUGGUAACGGUUGUUACUUUAAUACGCAUUUGCCACAAAUCACAUGCAAACCAUAUUUUCCCUCUUUU